RNAcentral lists this transfer RNA (75 nucleotides) under Adlercreutzia sp. RNAcentral describes it as "tRNA-Val". It matches the Rfam family "tRNA". From Rfam's summary of the family: Transfer RNA (tRNA) molecules are approximately 80 nucleotides in length. Their secondary structure includes four short double-helical elements and three loops (D, anti-codon, and T loops). Further hydrogen bonds mediate the characteristic L-shaped molecular structure. tRNAs have two regions of fundamental functional importance: the anti-codon, which is responsible for specific mRNA codon recognition, and the 3' end, to which the tRNAs corresponding amino acid is attached (by aminoacyl-tRNA synthetases). tRNAs cope with the degeneracy of the genetic code in two manners: having more than one tRNA (with a specific anti-codon) for a particular amino acid; and 'wobble' base-pairing, i.e. permitting non-standard base-pairing at the 3rd anti-codon position. The record is from RNAcentral. Lineage: Bacteria; Bacillati; Actinomycetota; Coriobacteriia; Eggerthellales; Eggerthellaceae. RNAcentral also lists the same sequence under 4 other names.
GGGAGAUUGGCGCAGCGGGAGCGCAGUUGCCUUACAAGCAAACGGUCACAGGUUCAAAUCCUGUAUCUCCCACCA